Molecule: transfer RNA, 60 nt
Filed under: Diacronema lutheri
Lineage: Eukaryota; Haptophyta; Pavlovophyceae; Pavlovales; Pavlovaceae
Rfam family: tRNA
About the family: Transfer RNA (tRNA) molecules are approximately 80 nucleotides in length. Their secondary structure includes four short double-helical elements and three loops (D, anti-codon, and T loops). Further hydrogen bonds mediate the characteristic L-shaped molecular structure. tRNAs have two regions of fundamental functional importance: the anti-codon, which is responsible for specific mRNA codon recognition, and the 3' end, to which the tRNAs corresponding amino acid is attached (by aminoacyl-tRNA synthetases). tRNAs cope with the degeneracy of the genetic code in two manners: having more than one tRNA (with a specific anti-codon) for a particular amino acid; and 'wobble' base-pairing, i.e. permitting non-standard base-pairing at the 3rd anti-codon position.
Source: RNAcentral
CCGUAGCUCAGCUGGAUAGAGUACCUGGCUACGAACCAGGCGGUCGCACGUUCGAAUCGU